Molecule: long non-coding RNA, 210 nt
Filed under: Vigna radiata
Lineage: Eukaryota; Viridiplantae; Streptophyta; Magnoliopsida; Fabales; Fabaceae
Description: long non-coding RNA (VRAD_LNC013061)
Source: RNAcentral
GGGGAAAAAGGAAAAAGCUUUGAAAAGUUGAGGAAGAACCAUGGCCAAAUAAUAACAAUGGGAAAGAGCAAAAAAGAAACAAGAAAAUCAUAAAAAAAUUAAAAAAAAAAAUAAGGGAAAAACAUGAAACUUGUGAGAUUUGCUGAAUAAAUUGAAUUUCGUACGUUGGCACACAGAAUUUGAAUAGUUCUUCAGAACGCGAUCACCGGC